UCUCUGUACUGGCCAGUCAAAUCGUAUUUACACGAUGUCCACGGGAUGCGCGCGCACGCGGACUGAUUAGACAAGAAGGACGAUCAGCCAUUGUUUACAAAUGAGGUGCAAAAUAAUAACUUUUUUCUAACUGUGUGGCUUAUUAAGGAGUUUUAUAUAUCGGAAUGCCUCACCGAAAGAAAUCUCGUUUGGGAAGACGGCAUAAGAACAGCCAUAAGAUAAAAGAACAGAAGCUUAAAAUUGGUACUAGACUAUGACACUAGUUGGAAUGAAAAGAGCUAGAAUAAUUCCAUAUCAUAGAUGAAAUUGAAGAACAGAUCAGAAAGAAAGCAAUGAAGAAAGAAAAGGAUGACUUAAUUUCAAGAGCAGAUGAUACAAAAGUUCACCUGACGACCAAAAGGAACUGCACACCAACAUGAUCAAGAGCCUUUAUCAUUCAAUGGACUGACAAUUUCUGUUUUGUAGAGAAUAAAAAUCAUCAAAAUCUAUAACUGUAUUUUUUGUUUGCAUUU
Long non-coding RNA from Mytilus trossulus (common blue mussel), 512 nucleotides. RefSeq lists it as uncharacterized. The transcript has 4 exons. The record is from RefSeq and is a predicted model, not a curated record. Lineage: Eukaryota; Metazoa; Mollusca; Bivalvia; Mytilida; Mytilidae.